UGAAGUGAUUCGGGUCAUUUCGGGUCAGGUACAUUUCUUCGGACCCGAGAAGACCUCUAGUUGGGAGUCCAUCUGUUUCGAGUGUGUUUGUAAACUCGUUUCAUCGUUUAAGCGAUUAAAUCUCUCAAGUAGACGGUGUCUCUUUGUAUGCGAGGGCAAAAUAGCACUUUAUGGACUUCCACAGAGGAAUAAUGAUUAAUACGGUUCCGGCAAAAUCCAGUCAGAAGUUGUUUGUAAGUUCACAGAGUUUUCACAAUGACUGCUUCAUGAACCGAAGCCGGAUUUGCGCGACGUCUCCUCCUGAUAGUUGGAUUACCGUGCACUUCUGGAUCACAGGCUGUUGUACCUUGCAGCCAUCCAUUACAGUCACCAACCCAUAACAAAAGCAGGAGAGGGAAAGUACAGGGUUAUGUUCCCAAAAAACACAAGCGACAUACUGCUUGUGUUUGAUGAGGUAUUUGAAGAUAAGCUGAAGGAAACCCCGAUUCCAAUGGACCUGGCAUCACAGUUUGAGAGACCUUCAAAGGAGGAUGUGAUUGCAU
Molecule: non-coding RNA, 542 nt
Organism: Paramisgurnus dabryanus
Lineage: Eukaryota; Metazoa; Chordata; Actinopteri; Cypriniformes; Cobitidae
Source: RefSeq, a predicted model, not a curated record